RNAcentral lists this ribosomal RNA (253 nucleotides) under uncultured bacterium. RNAcentral's name for it is "partial 16S ribosomal RNA". It matches the Rfam family "Bacterial small subunit ribosomal RNA", at positions 524 to 776 of the family's 1533-position model. The record is from RNAcentral.
UACGGAGGGAGCUAGCGUUGUUCGGAAUUACUGGGCGUAAAGCGCACGUAGGCGGAUCGUUAAGUCAGGGGUGAAAUCCUGGAGCUCAACUCCAGAACUGCCUUUGAUACUGGCGACCUUGAGUUCGGGAGAGGUGAGUGGAACUGCGAGUGUAGAGGUGAAAUUCGUAGAUAUUCGCAAGAACACCAGUGGCGAAGGCGGCUCACUGGCCCGAUACUGACGCUGAGGUGCGAAAGCGUGGGGAGCAAACAGG